This is a long non-coding RNA of Acanthochromis polyacanthus (spiny chromis), 3230 nucleotides long. RefSeq lists it as uncharacterized. NCBI's taxonomy places the organism in Eukaryota, Metazoa, Chordata, Actinopteri, Pomacentridae. The record is from RefSeq and is a predicted model, not a curated record. The transcript has 6 exons.
GCCAGAACAAGAUGGCCGCCGCAAGGAAGAAACUCAGAAGCUUUGAAGAUGCUUCCUGAUGCUGGAGGAGAAGACGAGCAGCUUUGUACCUUUGCGGUAAGAAGACGGGCUGUUUCUCAGUUUCCCAGAGACUUUGGGCUGAGGAGGAGCUCUGAGGAGAGAGGGGUUUGCUGCAAAUGAUGAGUGGGUGCUCUGCAGUGAUCAUUUUAAACCUGAUGGGUUUGACAGGUGUUAAGGAAAAAUUACUCACAUUGUCAGACUGAGGUGUCCCUAAAUUUCGGUGUGUCUGCAAACUGCAGUCACCCUAAAAUCAAAUGUAGGUGCCAAGUCAUCCCAAAUUCUGCAAACCUGUUUAUGCUCACUCAGUCCCCAAUAUGACCCUGAGACAGACAGACGCUUGGAAAAGAUAACAUCGGAAUGAAAGGCAACUGUUUGGCUGACAAGCAUCGCAGAAUUCCUUAACAAAUUGGCAUCACGAGAACAGGAUCUCCACACAACAAAGAUUGACUCAACAAUGAGCUCCUCUAAAUAUGUUUGAGAACGACCCUGACCUGUGGCUCCUUACCAUCAGCCGGGAUGGUUAAAUGAGGAGGAAAGCCUGAUCAUCGUUGCCAGUGGGCCAGAUCAGCUGCCAGAGUGUGGAGCCGGUGUUGUUUUCUCGUGUUCUGUUUAAGACCAAGGGUCUACUUGCUGAAGGGCUGCGUGUUGGGCACCCAGUGUUGGAUUUGUGAAGCCUGCUUUGUGUUGAGCUCUUGUUUUUCCUUUGUGGCAAAUAAAUUCCUCUCUGUUGAGGUUACAUCCAGUUUUCCCAGCCUCUGUAGAUAUUCAUUCUUUCUACUUUCUAGUCCCCUCAUCCCCUAGUUCUCGGGGACGUAACAUCUACCUACAGGACUUCAUUACUUUCACCGUCCCUUCAUUCCACACAGAGCUCGGCAAGACAGCCUUUUCUUACUCUGCUCCCUCAACGUGGAACUCACUACAGCAGAGUCUGAAGCUGUCCCUCAUGAUUCACCUGGAGGACUUCAAACAUCUUCUAAACAUUAUGGAAAUAUCAUCUUUUAGGGCCCGUUCUUGUUCUUAGUGUUUUUACAUUUUGACUUCAUUGCUUUGUGCUUUGCACAUUCACUUUAUUGUCUAUGUUGUGUUUUGUCAUGACCCUGUUUGUCUGGAACUCAGUGUUAUAUUGUAUUGUUAUAUUGUCUAGUAUAGGUCCUUUAGUGUUGUUUGUCUGUGACUCAGUGUUGUCUUGUUAUGUUAUUUAAGGACAGGUCUCUUUUGAGAAUGAGACUCAGUGUCUCAAUAAGACUACCUAUAUAAAUAACGGCUAAAUAAAAAUAAAAUAAAAUAAAAAUAAUCCUCACACUUUGAAUGGUGAUGAUUUGCUGACUCAACAGAAAAGAUAAUCAAUAAAUAAAACUGCACCUGUUCAGGUUGAUGAUGUGACCGUCAUCAACGUUUCUUUCCUUCAUCGACUGAUACGCUUCACGUGCGCAGAUGGACAAGGCAAGAACGUUCACCUGGAAGAAACCGAGCAGAAAGAAAUUAAAGAAAGGCACAGGUUUUAUAACAUUAUUAGCAUUAACUCUUGUUCAAAUGUCUCUAUAAUAAAACCAAGUUCUUACAUCCAGCAUGUUCUUCCAGCCGCUGGUUUUGCCGCUCAACAGUGGGUCAUUAUUGGCCAAUCCAGCGUUGUUGACUAAAACAUCUACGCCUUUGUGCUGCGCUUUGAUGGUUGCAAACAUGGCCAGAAUGUCGUCCUCUUUGGUCAGGUCACACUUGAUAGGCACCAAAACCCCAGGGUAGCCUGCUUUUUUACACUCUGCUGCCAGUUCCUGAAAUGAGAAUUAAAAACAUAACAGAUGCUCAGCUUCACCAUCGAGUCUGUGGUUUUAGGAACCUGCCACUCAAAUGCUUGAUUUUGAUUGAAAUUUCCAGAUUUGUGGAAUAUAAGUUUGCACAUACUCUAAUUAGCAUUUACAUUUUUUAAUAAAGUGAGCCUUUAUAUUGAAAGAUAGACCCAAGAACUGGUUCCAGGGAGAGGCCCCGGUUUCCCUGGUCUGGGCGAGGUAGCAGCUUUCCUCUUGAGUGCUGUCAUCAUGGCUUUCUGAAUGGCUCGUUGUCUGGUCCCUCCCUCAGGACCAAUUUGCCUUAGGAUACCCUACCAGGGGCUAUUGCCCCGGACAACACAGCUUCCUGGGUCACAGGGACGCUCAAACCCCUUCACCGCUAUGAGGUGACGAUUCACUGGGGGGAAGCAACUUAUUCACUGCACUUAUUUCAAUAGUUCUUUUUAAAAAUGCAUUGUUUCUGUGUGAGUUUCUGACUCAGUGCAAUGAAUCACUUGCGUUCACUUUAUGUAAAAUUAAGUCAUAAGAUCUGCAGUGCUCUGCUAAACACACAAAUAUUUUGUUGUCUUGACAUAAAACUGCAACUUUUAUGUUCUAUUGCAAGUGAUGCAAGUUUUUAUGGACGUAAGUAUUUUAUUGAGCAAAUAGAAGCGUAGUUAUGGCACAGUACAGAAAUACUUCACAAUGUAAUUCUAUUCUGUGCAAUACCAUGCAAUGCUAAACAUACAAUGCUACACUGUGCUGCUAUACAUACUAGGCAAUAUUGUACAGGGCUAUGCAAUAUCGUGUUUCUCUGCUUUCUCACAAAACAUACUGUUACGGUCGGAGGAUGGAACCCGAGCAGAGAACACUCACAGAGGCAGACUGAACGAAAACACAGGUUUUAAUAAAGGAAGGGUCUGGGAGGGGUGUGAGAGGAGCAGAGGGAUGGUCGGAGGAGGAAAAGCCCAGAGGGUGGUGUAGCGGAGGUGGGGAUCAGCGGUGGGAGACUGCCCCGGAAGACCGGAGUGUGGCGCUGGCUCGCUGGAGGACGCCGGGACGGCGGAGCGCGGACUGGUGGCCAGGCGAUCCAGGACCACACAUGUCUGGGCUGGGGUGGGAGGCGGAUCCGGUGCGGCGUCAGGAGUAGGGGGAGCCAGGUCGGGGAGAAUCCCAGUGGAGAGGGGUCGCGGUCCGUGGGAGGCAGAAGACAGUCCAAGGAGGGAGGUUCGGUGGAGAGGGAACCAAAGUCCAAGGGGAGACGACAGGUUAUCCAGGCAAGGGGAUCCGGGGAAGAGGACACAGGAAACCAAGAGGCACAGCAAUCGGUCCGGGCAGCUGGACCGGGGAGUUGCGGUAGCAGAGUUUACAAUCUGGCAGGGUGUGGAGGGUUUGACUGGUCUU